This 1181-nucleotide ribosomal RNA is filed under the name Bacillus velezensis. RNAcentral's name for it is "partial 23S ribosomal RNA". It matches the Rfam family "Bacterial large subunit ribosomal RNA", at positions 335 to 1518 of the family's 2925-position model. The record is from RNAcentral. Lineage: Bacteria; Bacillati; Bacillota; Bacilli; Caryophanales; Bacillaceae.
GAAGAGGUCUGGAAAGGCCCGCCAUAGGAGGUAACAGCCCUGUAGUCAAAACUUCGUUCUCUCCUGAGUGGAUCCUGAGUACGGCGGAACACGUGAAAUUCCGUCGGAAUCCGGGAGGACCAUCUCCCAAGGCUAAAUACUCCCUAGUGACCGAUAGUGAACCAGUACCGUGAGGGAAAGGUGAAAAGCACCCCGGAAGGGGAGUGAAAGAGAUCCUGAAACCGUGUGCCUACAAGUAGUCAGAGCCCGUUAACGGGUGAUGGCGUGCCUUUUGUAGAAUGAACCGGCGAGUUACGAUCCCGUGCAAGGUUAAGCAGAAGAUGCGGAGCCGCAGCGAAAGCGAGUCUGAAUAGGGCGAAUUGAGUACGUGGUCGUAGACCCGAAACCAGGUGAUCUACCCAUGUCCAGGGUGAAGUUCAGGUAACACUGAAUGGAGGCCCGAACCCACGCACGUUGAAAAGUGCGGGGAUGAGGUGUGGGUAGGGGUGAAAUGCCAAUCGAACCUGGAGAUAGCUGGUUCUCUCCGAAAUAGCUUUAGGGCUAGCCUCAAGGUAAGAGUCUCGGAGGUAGAGCACUGAUUGGACUAGGGGCCCCUACCGGGUUACCGAAUUCAGUCAAACUCCGAAUGCCGAUGACUUAUCCUUGGGAGUCAGACUGCGAGUGAUAAGAUCCGUAGUCGAAAGGGAAACAGCCCAGACCGCCAGCUAAGGUCCCAAAGUAUACGUUAAGUGGAAAAGGAUGUGGAGUUGCUUAGACAACCAGGAUGUUGGCUUAGAAGCAGCCACCAUUUAAAGAGUGCGUAAUAGCUCACUGGUCGAGUGACUCUGCGCCGAAAAUGUACCGGGGCUAAACGUAUCACCGAAGCUGCGGACUGUUCUUCGAACAGUGGUAGGAGAGCGUUCUAAGGGCUGUGAAGCAAGACCGGAAGGACUUGUGGAGCGCUUAGAAGUGAGAAUGCCGGUAUGAGUAGCGAAAGAGGGGUGAGAAUCCCCUCCACCGAAUGCCUAAGGUUUCCUGAGGAAGGCUCGUCCGCUCAGGGUUAGUCGGGACCUAAGCCGAGGCCGAAAGGCGUAGGCGAUGGAUAACAGGUUGAUAUUCCUGUACCACCUCCUCACCAUUUGAGCAAUGGGGGGACGCAGGAGGAUAGGGUAAGCGCGGUAUUGGAUAUCCGCGUCCAAGCA